CCUACGGGUGGCAGCAGUGAGGAAUAUUGGUCAAUGGACGAGAGUCUGAACCAGCCAAGUAGCGUGAAGGAUGACUGCCCUAUGGGUUGUAAACUUCUUUUAUAUGGGAAUAAAAUGUUCCACGUGUGGGAUUUUGUAUGUACCAUAUGAAUAAGGAUCGGCUAACUCCGUGCCAGCAGCCGCGGUAAUACGGAGGAUCCGAGCGUUAUCCGGAUUUAUUGGGUUUAAAGGGAGCGUAGGUGGAUUGUUAAGUCAGUUGUGAAAGUUUGCGGCUCAACCGUAAAAUUGCAGUUGAAACUGGCAGUCUUGAGUACAGUAGAGGUGGGCGGAAUUCGUGGUGUAGCGGUGAAAUGCUUAGAUAUCACGAAGAACUCUGAUUGCGAAGGCAGUUCACUGGACUGCAACUGACACUGAGGCUCGAAAGUGUGGGUAUCAAACAGGAUUAGAUACCCGUGUAGUC
This 460-nucleotide ribosomal RNA is filed under the name uncultured bacterium. RNAcentral describes it as "partial 16S ribosomal RNA". It matches the Rfam family "Bacterial small subunit ribosomal RNA", at positions 338 to 795 of the family's 1533-position model. The record is from RNAcentral.